Molecule: long non-coding RNA, 484 nt
Organism: Oncorhynchus tshawytscha (Chinook salmon)
Lineage: Eukaryota; Metazoa; Chordata; Actinopteri; Salmoniformes; Salmonidae
Exons: 2
Source: RefSeq, a predicted model, not a curated record
GGGGUCGCCCUGGUAGUAGUUGUAGGUUUUCAUACAGUACCCAAGACCAGUCUGUGUUAAUUUGACCAUAGGAAAAAAGAGAUACUGCGUAAAUACUGCAAUGCGGUUUGGAUUGAGUUGAGCCCCUUCAUUUACAAGGUGAUGAUUGCACUUUCCUCCCAACACAAUACCGCAGUACCGCAGCAUACCCCCCAUAAGGGAUUCGAACUUACACUGCAAGUGGCAAUAGAUGUCAGGAAGUCACCACAUAACAACUGUGAACUUUCCAGAGACGUAUUUGUUCGCAAUGCACAUGAUUUUAUUAUCAGAGCGUGUCAGUGGACUCCUGGUAAGUUCAGUGAGAGAGUGUUGGGAUCAGGUACAACUACAUUUACCCGCCCCCAAAAUGAAUAUUUAUGAGCAAGUCCCGCCCCAUCCACAACUUCUCACCUGAAUGCAUUUUUUUCUUUCCAAUGUCAAGGGGUUGGACAAAGGCUGAAAUUGG